CAGGCCAGUGUUUCCAGCCAUCAUGUCAGAGCUGAGUGGAGUGGCACUGGGUGCCAAGGCAAACACCCAGCCCAGCUGUGCUGGGAAGAACUGAGCUCCAAUGUGUCUUGUGACCCAGCUCCUCCCACCCACCUGGCUGUGUCUCCUAUCCUGCAGAGAUUUCUGGGGGCUGUUUCCAGUAAACAGAGUGCCAGCACCCACUAACCUGUAAAUAGCACCUUGUUCAGGGGGAGUGAUAUUCUUUGACUGUAUGAUUUGGGGCCUUGCUGCUCAAAAUGUGGUCAGCAGCAUUGACAUCACCUGGGAUCUCAUUACAAAUGCAGAAUCUCAGACCUCACUCCAGAUGUGCUGGAUGAGAAUGGCCAUUUUCACAAGCUCCCCAGGAUAUGUGUGCCUGUUAAAGUUUGAGAAGCACUGAUCGGAGGACUUCGGUUAUAAUCCCACCUCCUUCUAUAAGUGAUUAAAGAAAAUUCACUUAUACUCUCCUUUGAACAGCUGUAUGCUUCUCAAUUUCUCUCUCUCUCUCUCUCUCUCACACACACACACACACACACACACUUUAUUUUUCAAUCUCUAUAGACUUGCUUCUUUGUAAGGCUCUCAAUUUCUCCUCCCCAGUGACACAAGCUUGCAUGUGGAUAUAGCUCGUCAUGGUGCCUAUUUAUCUUCAACUUUAUGCAACCUUAGCACUCUUUUACUCAGAAACCUUUUGACUGGGAGAGCAGGGCAAACUCAAAUCCCUACAGAGACCAGGAAGGCAGCAUGGAUGAGUGCAGAAAGCUACAUUUGUUUCAGAAAGGAAUCAGUGUAUAUUCUUUCAGCAGACACAUUUAGUUUGUUUCUUAUAAGCCACUAGAAGAGUCAUUACUUUCACAAAGUCAUAUGCUUAUUCCCAUUUUUCAUAAAAUAUGGCCUAUCUUCAGUUUUCCCAGUUUUGAUACAGAAAAAAAUAUAAGAAAGAUUUUCUAUUUCCUAUAACUAUAAAAGCCCACUAAUAGCACCAGCACAGCCACCCCUGGGCUUCACACAGGGAGUGGCAGGAGCUGUGCAGAUGGAGAGUGCAUACUGGUGUGAAGGGGGCAAUGGAUCUCAGCUCCAGCCAUUGUCUUCAUGCAGGAAUUUGGGACCAUUUUACCGGAUCCUCCCAUUUCUUCAAGAGAAGCCGGAAAUCUGGAUUUCUAUGUGAAAUCUCCCACUUUUUUAUGCUGGCAACUAAUUUUCUUUAAACACUGUGCCAAACAAAACAUACCUGCAGGCCAAAAUCUACACCCUCUGGGCUGGAUUUCAAUGUCUCUUAAACUCUCAACAGAGAGCAUCUUACUGUUUCAGUUCAGGGUAGAUGUCUACCCAUGGUCCCAUCGAGUGGGGUCUGGAUAUGGAAUCAGCUAGAAGAAGCAUAGUCUAUGCCCAUUCUUUCAGCAGGGACUGUGGGCAGGAAACCAUUUCCAAAGAAGCAGGCAUGAGUUGGUGGCCAUACAAAUAUAUAUGUUAUAUUGAUAAAUAUAAAAACAGGAGAUUCUGGGGGACCACAAGUUUUUACAAAUUAGGCUUAUUUUAGGAUAAAUUCACCCUUGUUAGUGUGCAGUUCUGUGAGUUUUGAUAUACAUAUGCAGUCAAGUAACCACUCCCACAAUUAAGAUACAGAAUAAUUCCAUCACCCCCCAAAUUUCUUGUAUGCCCCUUUAUAGCUAGCCCCUGACCCUAACCUCUGGCAAUCACUAAUAUAUUCUCUUUUUCUAUAGGCUUGCUUUUUUUCAAAAUGUCAUAUACAUGGAAUCACACAGUUUAUAGCCUUUUGAGUCUGGCUUAUUUUACUCAGCAUAAUGCCUUUGAGCUUUAACCAUGUAAUUUCAUGUAUCAGUAGUUCAUUCCUAUGUAUUGCUAAGUAAUUUUCCACUGUAUAGAUGCACCACAGUUUGUUUAUCCAUUCACCAAUUAAAGCCAUAAUCAACUUCCAUGUAGAAGUUUGUGUGUGAACACAGUUUUAAUUUAUUUGGGGUUACUACCUAGGAGUGAGAUUCUGGGUCUUAUGGUAAGCAUACAUUUUACUAAGAAACUAUAAAACUCUUUUCCAAAGUGGCUGAACCAUUUGACAUUUCUAACAGCAAUAUUUGAAAGUUCCCAUUGCUCUGUAUCCUCUCCAGUACUUACAUGCUCAGCAUUUUGGUUUGGUCUGGUUUCAUUGUUUCUGAGCUCUUCUGAUAGAUGUGGAGUACACCCCCAUUUUGGAUGAAUUGUGCCAAAUGUGUAGACCAUCCUCAAAAUCUAAGGUCUCAGUAAAAACAAUUAAACAUGAUUUCUGAUAUAAUGUCUUAUCCUUGAAAACCCUGACCCAUCCAUCUUCAGCACAUUCACAUGUGUAAUAAGGUAAGUGAUUUUUAAUUCCACCAGGUUUAAAGACCCCUGACGUGACUUAUUGCCAUUCUGCUACUGAGCCUUGAGAGAUUAUGGUAAGUGCCAAGAAAAAAAAAAUGACUUUGAACUGCUCUUUCACCAGUUAAAAAUAACACUGAAACCAAAUGUAAACAUAAAAGAAGUGGUCAGAUUCGGGUUACAUAUUAACGGUGUUUGGUCAGGCUGGAGCUGAGGCACAGCAGCAGAGAAUGCCUUUUACUUAUCACUGUUUCCAAACCUCCCUACCUGGACUAGGCUUGACUGGAUUUACAAGAGACCUUUUGAAAAGAUGCAGAGAAGGCAAGCAGCACACAUUUCCUGGUAAUAAAUUUUAAAGGUUGCUAAAACAUUCCAGAGAUUUUCACUCAACAUUCCUCUGGCCAACACAUCUGCAAUCUGCCAAUCCUUAAAAAUAGGUGUUUUUGCAUUUUAAUCUCACAAACAUCUUUGAAAAUGCAUUUCUUCUCUGCCCCUGUGUUGGACAAAUCCAGCUUUUUCCAUUUUCUAAAAACCACAGAAAUAUAAUGCUGCUUAAUUCAUACAAGACUGAGCUAACUGGAGUUAAAAUAAAAUUUCUGAGAGUUUGUUUGGCUCACUCUUCCCUACCAGAUGAUUCCAUUCUUAAAACGGUCCUGUGAUUAUAUUCUCUCAUUACAGAGGUGUCCAGAAAAAAAAUAAGGAGUGCAGUUCUGAAAUUAUAUAAAAGCAAAAUUAUUACUCUAAACGUAAGAGCUGUGAUAGAUCGUGUCAUUGACCAUGGUUCUUUUCCCCUGACACACACGUCCCCACCACCCACCCACUGUAUCCAUAUGCCUUUUGCCAUAUGACUUUGCAGCUCUCCCCACUAAAGGGGCAGCCAUGCGAUUUGCUUUGGCCAAUGAAAUGAGGCAGUAGUGGUGGUAUCCUAGUUCUGAGCCUAGGUCUCAAGAAGUCUUAUGUGUUUCUGCUUAUCCUCUUAUACCUCUGCCAUCACCAUGAGCCAAACAUCCCCCAAGUAGCCCACUGGUCCCAGGACAAGGAGGGAGACAUGAAGCAGAGCUCAUCCAGCUGCUGCAGCCCCACUUGACCCAGAGACCUACACUGGGAAGCAGAGCUGCCCAGUCAAGUCCAACCUGGAUGUGUGGAACCCCAGCCAACCUGAUGCAUGAGCACUCACGGCAUUGGAAGACAUCAUAAACAUUAAUGGAGAGCGGGAUGCCAGAAUAAGUUGAUCCAAAUGAUGCAGGAAUAUUUAGCAGCAAGGAGAAAGGAAUUCACAUUUCUCAGUACCCACUAUGUGCCAUACUUUGUGAUAAGAUGGUUUCCCUCCAAUAUAUCCUCAUUGUCAGCAAUGUCGGGAAACAGGAAUCAUUUCCCCUUCUACAGGUGAUAAAACUGAAGCAAGAAACAUACAGGCUAACAUCAGCUGAGCUGAGAUUUGAACUCCACUCUUUUUGACCCUGGAGCUGAUGAAUGCUGCUUCUAGAGGUUGAGUAUCCCUUAUCCGAAAUCCUUGGAACCAGGAGAUUUUUGGAUUUGGGAAUAUUUGCAUAUACAUAAUGAGAUAUCUUGGAGAUGGGACCCAAGUCUAAAUACAAAAUUAUUUUGUUGUAUAUACACCUUGUACACAUAGACUGAAGAUAAUUUUAUACAAUAUUUUAAAUAAUUUUGUGCGUGAAACAAAGUUGUGACUAUGUCUUGACUGUAAGACAUCUUGCAUGCAACCCAUCAUAUGAGGUCAGGUGCAGAAUUUUCCAUUUGUGGUGUCAUGUUAGUGCUCAAAAAUUUUCGGAUUUUGGAGCACUUCAGACUUUCGUUUUCCAGACGGGGGAUGCUCAACCUGUCUUAGAACCUGUGGUCUCCCAUCAUGCCUCCCUUCCCCAUUCCCUUGCUCCACUGGGGUCUGAGGUGGGAAAGCAAAAGGAGUUGCAGGUAACCCUCACUUUUCACACCAGGCAAUCUCUCCCCACAAUCUGUCACAUUCCUGAAGAACAAGGAAGCAGAGCACUCCACUGAAGAAAUUCUGUUAAAAUCUAUCCCCAACGUAUAAGCAUCCAUCUUUGUCCCAGUCUGGGUCUAACAUGAACAAAGUGCUUAAACAAUUCAGUAGAGGAGAAAGGGAACUUGGAGCAGCUCUGUCACCCUGAAGUGACACUGCCAUGCUGCAUUUCCUGUCUGUAAUAUCUCUUCAGAGCAAUUGUUUUCUUCUGUGAGGACACUUCAGAGAUUCACAGAGACAGAUGCUCUUGUGACUGACCAUAGCAAGUAUCAAAAGGCCUGGGUGGAAUUACGAAGCAUUUCUCGUGCACUGCGUAUUGGGAAGUGCUUCACAGCUGUGUGGCAGAUGUGAGUGGACAGAGGGGCAAGGGAACUGCCCCAAAGGAGGUGGCAGAGGAAGCAACAAGCCAGGGAUUGGCUGGCCGGUCCCAGCACAGCAACUGCAGCAGCAGCUUGCUAAGUUUCACAGGUGAAGCCAAAGGCUGGGGGGAAUGGAAAACAAAUAUCACUCCAUUAAAUUAAGGUCUGAGGAAAACAUGAUGAGGAAAGUCAAUAGUGAAUCAAAACAUUGAAAAGCCACUAACUUUGACUUUCCAUGUGCGUGUGCAAGUUCACGUGUGCAUGUGUGUCUGCAUGUCCAAGUUCUACACUGAUUCAAGAAAUAAUUAUAGAGGGCCUGCCAUAGGAUGGUGAGCAAAACAGUCUUGGCCUCUGUCCUGAUGGAGCAUGCAGUAUCACAGACUCUAUAUGUUCUAUUUCUAGGCCUUGUAUUUUGAGGAUAUAUGCCAGUGGAAUGAGAAUGGCUCUGUGACCUUGUUUAAGUCCCACCACUGUCUCAGGCAGGGUUUUCCAAAGUGUAGUCCUUAUACUAUUAUGUGGUGAAGAUGCUUAAUUGUUUUGUAAUUAUUUAAUGUGCGUAGGUAUCACAUCAAACCCAGUAUUUUCAAGGAUUUUUAUAGCUUAAGACAAGGCUUGUUAUAGGCAAGGUGGAUCAAUUCAAAAAAUAUAUGCUAACAAAAUAAUAGUGGAGGUGGUACAAAGAAACAGCAAAGGUAGUGAGAUGGCUUCACUGGUGUUUGUGAAUCACCAAGAUAAUGCACGUGGAAAUAAAAAUCAGUGUGGUCCAUAGAAAUACAAGGGGUUCUAAUUACCCCUCAGUGAGCACUUGCUCUCUCACUCACCCCAGCAAUGACAUAUUAAGCAAAGCACUGCCCUGACUGCAUAUGCUCUUGCCGACAACUUGGCCAGCAUUCAGAAGACACUAAGUGUGCUCUGGGAACUUCAGAAGGCACUAACAUUCCAUGGAGAACUUCACAAAGAGUGAGACCUAGUCCCUGGCCUAAAGAGAGUAUAAUUUAGUAGGAAAGAGAAGACAAACACACAAAUAACUGUAAAAUGGGAUAAGCCCCAAAGUGGAGGUACAAAGUCCCAUAGAAGAGGCUCAAUGAUAAGUCACGCCUGCCGGGUAAGGUCAAGAAAGACUUCAUGGAGAUUUGAGAUGGCAUCUGAGAUAAGCCAGGAAAGACGGUAGAAUUUCAACAACCAAAAAAGUGGGGAGAGGGAUGGGAGGCAUUCCAGAGAAGGAGAAAUGCUUGAGCAAUGGUACAGAGACCAGGAAGUUAUAUGAGGGCAGAAAGUCCCUGCUGUCUAUUUAGCUGGGAUAUAGAAUGCAAGUCAGUUAGAUGAUUAGGUGGGGUUAUAACAUAACUAGCCUUAAAUAGUGGACUGAGAAUUUUCCACUUAAUUUAAUGCAAAUGGCAGGGGAGGGGGCAGGCAAUGGAGAGCUGAAAACAGGACUGGAGAUGCGCUGGAGGGAAGUAACCCUGGAAAUGGGUGAAGUACGGGUUACUGUCACCCCAGCUCUGGUUCUUGUUAUUCCCUAGGAGAAGCAUAAUAGAAGUGUGAAUUUAGGGUAGCCAAAUGAUGACUUUGCAGAGGGAAUCUUUAGGACUUGUGACUUGAUUAAAAGCAGGGAGAUGGAUAGGGAACGUCCAAGGAUAACUAGAUAACUAGAGCUCUCCUGUUCCUCUGACUCAUGUGUGCUGAAACUGUAGAGUCAAACAAACACUUGUAAGUGGCGUGAUGUAAAUCCCUUAGGGGCCCAUGCCUGCCUCAAGAGAAGAACGUGUGGUCAGGAAAAACGACCGGGGGAAGUGAAAACGACACAAGACCCAGAGGAUAACCCUUAUUUUAUUCACACAUGCAAAUUUAGGCACAGCAAAAAGCAAAACGAAGUAUACCAAAUGUCAAGGGUUAAUUAUUAAUCAUUUCUAUAUUAAAUUAUGAGUUUUUCAGUAAGACACUUUUUGAUAAGAAACUUGAAUUACGUUCAUAACCAUCAAAAUAAAGAAAAUAAAAGAGACAGAUUUUCUUUGGUGGUGGGAGAACAUUAAGUAUUGUGGAAGCCUGAAAAAUGGUCCCCAAAAGAAUCUGGUCCUAAUCCUUAGAACUUGUGAGUAUUAUCUUACUUGGAAAAAGGGUUGUUUUAAGAUAAGGAUCUUGAGUUGGGAAGAUUGUCCUGAGUUAUUCAGGUAGGCUGUAAAUGCCAUCACAGGCAACCUUUUUACAUGGAUAUUUGACACAGAGUGGAGGAGACACCCAUAGGAGAAGGCUAUGUGAAGACAUAGCAUCGAGACACUUGAAGAUAUUGGCCUUCAAAUGGCACAGCCACAAGCAAAGGAAUGCCAGCAGCCACCAGGAAAAAGCAAAGAAUGGAUUCUCACCUAAAGUCUCCAGAGGGACUGUAGAGUAUCCUGCCAACACCUUGAUUUUGACUCUGUGAAACUGAUGUCAGGCUUCUGGCCUCCAGAACUGUGAGAGAAGAAAUUUCUGUUGUUUUAAACCUUCGAAUUUGUGGUAAUGUGUUAGAGCAGCCACAGGAAACUCAUAUUCUAAACUAGCAACUAUGAAAUGAGAAUUUCUAGUGUUCAGCUAAGAUACCACCGCAGAAGCAGCUGGAUAAUAUCAGAUGAGCCGAAAACUUCUCUUACCCCAUUUCCUUAUCCAUAAAAUUAGCAAAUAAUACCUGUCUUGCAGAGUUAAUUUUAAAGUUAUACAAGUAAAUACACUUUGAAAGUGACAAGUACUAGAAAAAUGUAGGGAAUUAUCCUACAAGUCUGGGUAUCCCCACCACCCAAGGCACAUGAAUGAUGCACAAUAAAAUAUACAAUUGGUUAGAAAUAGAACAAAGUGUUGAAAGUGCUUCAAAGCUCGAAAUGUAGGGCAUGAGGAAUGAAGGAAAUUCAGUUCAGGAAUAAAAUAUUUAUUCAGCAUCACUAAUAAGCCAGGCACUCUGCCAGAACCCAAAGGUAUAAAGAGGAACAAAUGAUAAUUCCUGCCCUGUGGAUGGCUUAUAGUCUAGGGUAGCAUUUUUACAGUGUGUUCACAGACCACUAAGCUCUCAAAUUUCUAUUUAAAGAUGCCAAAGGACCCAAGAUCAAGUGCUAUAUUCUAAUAUCUACCCUCUCCAUUUCCUACCCCCUCCCACAACCACACUUUCUGUAGACUCACAAUGUGUUAGUUAAUUUAAGGCAUUGAGUCCUGUUGUUAAUAAGCUGACUUGCCCUUAAUUAUCACAGGCUUUUCCAAAUUUCCUUGACAUGCACUAACCAUUUAACCUUGGGGAAAAGAAUGGAAUAACAUUCUUGCCUGCCUGUUGUAGCUGUCAUCAUAUUUAAAUGUAAUAAAACAUGGAAAGUGUUUAAUAAUUAUGGUGCUCUAGGCAAAAUAGCAGUCCUUCAAAAAUGCCCAUGCCCUAAUCUCCAGAACCUGUGAAUAUGUUACCUGACAUUGUAAAGCAACCUUGUAGGUGUGAUUAAAGUUACAAGCUCUGAGAAGAGAAAAUUACUCUGGAUUAUCUGGGUGGGCCCAGCUUAAUCAUAUGAACCCUUAAAAGUGGAGAAUGUUUUCCAGCUAAGGUCAGAGAAAGAGACUUGACAAAGGAAGAAGGGUCAUAGGGAUGUGAUACCGCUAGCUUUAGAGAUGAAGGAAGAGGACCACAGCCAAGAAAUGUGGGUAGCCUCUGAACACAAUACAAGGCAAGGACACGGGCUCUCUCCUUGAGCCUCUAGAAGGAGCACAGCCAUAAGGCAUUCUUAAACUAUGUCGCUUACCUUACCUACCUCAUCCACUUACUACUUGUAUGGCUAAUGGCAUGAGGAAGUCACUAAAACUCUCCGAGCCUUCCUGGCCUCCACUUAAAUGGGAGUGGUACCCACAGAGGGUCAGGAGGCUCAAUCAAAUCUCAAAUUCAUUAUCUCUUGCUUCUCAUGCACAAGUCAGUGUCAGCAGGAGGCAUCAGUGCUUCUGCAAAAAUAACUAAUUCAACAUUACUUUGUCAGAUCACAACCCUUCUUUGCUAAAACCUUCCAGAGGCUCCCUGUCUCACUCACAGAACAACCUCAUGGACUUCCUCUGUUCUCAGGAUUCUCAUGACACAAUAUGACCCCAUUUCCUCUGACUAUAGGUCCUUCCUCUCUCCCCCUUCCUGAUGGUGCUCCAGCCAUACUGGCCACCUUGCUGUUCCUGAGGCACACCAGGCAGCUUCCAGCCUCAGGACAUUUGCACUUGCUGUUUUCUCUGCUUAGAGCCCUCUUCCCCCAUAUCCACAUAGCUUGCUCCCUCAACUCCUUUAGAUCUUCAUUCGGCUAUUACCUUCUUCCUGAGGCCUUCCCUAACAACCCUAUGAAAAUUGCAAUACCUGCCAGCCAAACAUUCCCCAUCCUCCCUUCACUUUAAUUUCCGCCAUAGUAAUUUCAUCUUCUCACAUGCUGCAUAUUUAACUGUUUUGUUUACUUUCUUUCCUCCAUUGGAAUAUAAGCUCUAUCAGGGCUUUUCAUGAAGGACAUGCAAGUAGAUGCUUGAUAAAUAUUUGUUGGAUAAAUAAAUCAGUGCAUAUACCAAUCUGAAGUCACAAAAUCAAUAUGAGCAUCACCUUCCACUAAAGACAUAUCCUUUCAGUUAUCGAUGAAAAAUGAAGUUGAAAACACAAUAAUCAGCCUGUCAUUGAACAAUGCAGCUGCAGCUAAGAUCAAGUUCUUGACUGACUUUGCCGAGCCCAACCAAUUCAAAGGAAGAAUAAAAACAUGGUCAAGGGACCCAAGACCCAGCUCUUAUCCCCUACUCAGAGAAAACCCAGAGAGAACCAGCCUUCUGAUGUCUUGUCCUUCCUGGUUUUGACCAACCUCUAAAAACCAUAAGAACAGUUUGUCUCAGUAUUUCAGUACUUCCGCUUCCAGGCCCAGGAAAGAGCAGGAAGUGCAGGGGCGUGUGAAAAUCAAGAAAAAAGAAGAAUUAAACCCGCUACACAUGAAGCGCUCAAAGACUUCCUCUGUAACCUGUUGCAGCACACGAGUUUCAAUGUGCUUUCACUGAGAGCCCAGGGGGACUGUGCUGUCCCCAGAAUUUCGCACCAUGCCCCACACUCUCAAUGAACACUUGUUG
This 9813-nucleotide long non-coding RNA is filed under the name Homo sapiens (human). RNAcentral's name for it is "HSALNT0165967". Lineage: Eukaryota; Metazoa; Chordata; Mammalia; Primates; Hominidae. The record is from RNAcentral.